GCCUACGGCCAUACCACCCUGAGAACACCUGAUCUCAUCUGACCUCGGAAGCUAGGCAGGGUGAGGCCCGGUUAGUACUUGGAUGGGAGACUGACAGGGUAUACCGGGUGCUGUAACAA
Molecule: ribosomal RNA, 119 nt
Filed under: Pygoscelis adeliae (Adelie penguin)
Lineage: Eukaryota; Metazoa; Chordata; Aves; Sphenisciformes; Spheniscidae
Source: RNAcentral